GACAUUUAAUUUUUUUUUUCAACUUGGGUGAGUGGGGGUGGGGGGAAGCUUGGAGCUGUCUUAAUCUGUAUUCUCUUGACUGAACAAUAAAUUUUUAAAUAUGUAUAGUUUCCUCUAUUAAACACUUAAACCUGGCCAUCUUAUUAACUCCUUCUGCUCUCUCUUUUUCUUAACAAGGUAAUGUUUUAAAUGUAUAGUUUUAGGACUAGCGAAAUGGCAGCAACAACAACUUGUAAGCAGUUCUUACUCCUUUUUAAAGUUUUUUUAAAAACCUUGUUCAUUGUAAGUAGCCAAUCCAUUGUCCUUACCAGUGUAGUUUUCAUGUUAAUGUUGCUGAGAUGUCCUUUAUUUUUCCGAACCUUCAUCUGCAUGUCUGUCUUUGUCGCUCUUGUCUAACAUAAGCCAGUAAAAAUGCUCGUAGACGAUUUUUUGCUUUUAUAAAGCCAAGGCUUUAGCUUUUAAGCUUUUGAGAAUGUGUACAGCAGUGAAUGCUAGUCAGCUUUCUUCCCAGAAAACAGGUACACUUUCUUUGAAAAUCGAUCUACUUGAAGAAAAACAGUUCUUGUUUUUCUUCUGGUCUCGCUAGAGGAGUGGGUGAGGGGAAAAGGAAGACCUCUUUGUGUCAAACAGACGAAAAGCCGUCACAGGAAACUAGAUUAAAACUGGAAAACAAGUCCUGGCUGGUUUGAGCCAAACACCAACGUUCACUUGCGGAGCAGUACACGGCCCUCAGCGAAGCCGCCUUUUGCCAACCCAACCCUGGAAAGUUCACAGAAGUGGAAGGACAGAAAAUGCCAUGAGAGUGUAACUUACAAAAAAGGCUUCUGGCCAGAGAAGGGGCAACACGUCGGUCCCCCCAGAGUGGACCGUCCUCCUCCGAACAGCAGGAACAGGCCUAGUUUGGCUCUGACAGUCCUCCCAGUAAGGUAGGCGUGAGGCCUUUCCCAAUCUGUAAGGGGGAUUUGGGGGGCUUUGGCCUGGAGCCCUGGGAGGGCGGACACCUCCAACUCGUUAAGCUGGUUCUGCAGCCCCUCCCCCACACAGAUGUGCAGGGGUGUGUGUGUGUGUGUGUGUGUGUGUGUGUGUGUGUGUGUGUGUGUGUGUGUGAAAUCGGCGGCCUGCCGGGCCCAUCCAUCCCUGCCUGUCAGCCUCUGUUGUCAGAGUUUGGGGCGUGCAGUUCUCUGCCUAUUUAGUAGCGCUGGAGAGGCCGGCAGUGCUGGCAGUGCUGGCGAGCGUUUCCCAGCGGUGUUUCGUGGUGGGGGAUGGGUCCUGGAUGCCUCUGAAGGACACCUCGGCUGCCAGGAAGCCCAGCCCUUCUCUGGCCCUUCCUUCCUGCCCCCAGUGUCCGCCAGUGGGGUGAAUGGUUGAGCGAGGGCCCUUCCCCUCCUGUGUCUGGUUGCUGGGGAGGUGAAGCACGGGGCCUGAGGUCUGGGCCAGCUUCCUCUGAGAGGCUUCUUGCCUCUUCUGCUUCCUGGGAAUUCCCACGAUUACCUCCCCACCCCCCACACCGAAACCAGCCGUAGCUGGAGUAGCGCACAGCGGCUGCCGUUUGCCUGCCGCGACCUCGCCAGGGUGGCCAGCGGGGCUGGGUCAGUGUUUCUCAGGCAAGUGUGCUGCUGAGUCACUGCAGAACUCAUUCCCAGCGACCCUGGAGUUCCUGGUUCAGUUGGUGGGGCCCGAGAAGGCGCGUUUCCGACAAAGCCCCAGGUGGUGCUGAUGAGAGAGCCCAGUGCUUGGCACAGGGUCGUUGGCCUCUAAUAAUGGCAACUCUCUGUUCCUUCUGACACAAGCGGUGCCGCAGUGUCCCGGUCUCUUUGUCUCCGGGAAGCUCCACAGCUGGACACCGUGUGGCCCUUGAUCUCCCAGCCUCCACCCCAUGUGGUCUCUAGUACGUGAUGACUUUGAUGAGCCAUUUGGGUUCAGGUGCCACAUUUGAGCUGCCUCCCCCGUUUGGCUCGCAGCUUGGCUUCCGUAUCAGGUCAGCCCUGCCUGCUGUCACGCCACUCAAGCUGAGGUGUGUGGGGGGGGGCUGCUGCAGGACUUGCCCCUGACGUUUUCUUUGCAGGCGUCUUGGUGCUUAAUCAGGGGAGGGUCUGAGGCAGGUGUCUGUGGGCUUGAGGCUCCCAGGUGCCAGUGACCUUGGGCAAGUCUCCGUGUAAAAUGAUAGCGUUGUACGCUGUCACUGUUGGGAGGAUUAACUGUGAGGAAGGGGGCCAGCGGCGUGUUCAGGCUUCACACUGGUUAGCCUCCAUUCCAACUGGAGGCUGGGCCGCUUUCCAGCUCCUCCCCUAUCAGCCCACCCCGAGCACGUGGCUGAGCCUCAGGGCUGGGGCUCCCUGAAGGAAGGCAGGAGGCAGCGUCAUUCUAACUCCCAUGUCGUCUGAGUCUGGCUGGUGGCCUGCCCUCUGCUCUGUGAACACUCAGGAUUUGGGGUCACACGCCCACCCCUCCCUCCAGCAUAUAAAUGACUCACCCAAGGUCAUGAGGCCACCACCCUCGGCCAGGACUGGGUUCCAGGUGUCUUGAUGAACAGCCCAGCGUCCGUGUCCGAGGCACCCCCUCGCCCCAGCUGUCUGGGUUAUUUCGGGUGCCCUCCCGUGCCAGCUGUCUGCUGGCAUCGCCCCCAGGAGCCGGGGAAGCUGUCUGGCUGCGAGUAACCUGAGUGCUGCUCUGGGCUCCUUGUGGCUCCUUCUGGCUCCCGUGCUUUAGACUCUCCCGUCCCAGAUUAGCUGGGUGAGGUCCAUCUUGUCCUUUUCUGGGGGGCAAGGGGGUGCACCCCACCACACCCCUUUGUAAAAGUUGGUGCGCCUCUUUCCUCCUUCCACAGAUCUCAGGUUUCAGUUCAACUGUGCUGUUGAGGAGCCCAUUCAAAUCUCCUAACUCCUCACCUCACUGGCCGCCUGAGGGUGUCCUGUGACCCUUUGGAUAGGGCCCUUGUGGCCGCAGAGGCAGAGAUCUUGACCUGCCAUGGCUGCAGAUGGUUCGAUAAUUCACUGAAACCCUCCCCUUUUGACUGCUGCCUGCGGGGCCGCAGCCAGUUCUUCCACUCUUGCCCUGGGAGCAAUUAGGAAGCAAUUAGGUGCUGAACUGUGUGGUCUGGGCGAGAUUCUUGGGAGAGGUGUCCCGGUGACCUGACCUGGAAGCUCGCCUUCAGCCUAUGCGCUCCCUGCUUCCAUUUUUCUCUUACCCCUUCUUUUUUCUUUGUGCCCCCCACCCCCAACCUCAUCACCUCCAGGGCUAGGGAGGGGUUGUCAUUCCUUCUAGCCCAGAGGGCGGCCCCGCCCACCGGUCACCCAGGGGGCGAGGGGCGGGGCAAUCCUGGCCUGGAGCCUGCCUGGAGAGGGCCACGCCAGCGGAAGGGCAGCUGGCUGGCCGGACUUGCUUUACCACUGGACACCAGAGUCCCGCCUCUUCCGGCCCAGCCACCGAGAGGGAGAGCCCCAGCAUGGAAUACGACCUUUUGGACCCUCUGGGUGGAGAUGCAGUCGCGUGGACUAUGGAGAGAGGCAGGCACCCUGCCAUCUCAAGGCUGUGUGGGUCCACUGAUGUCUCCACCUGGCCGGUGACCUUAGCAGGCCUCUGCCCCUCUGGGAGCAUGGGUCUUCAUUGGUGACCCACGAGGAGGAAGUUGGCAGGUAACCUCCUGAGCCAUUUCUGAAGCCGGCUUUGUGAGGGGAAACUUUUUGGGUGGCAGUGACUCCCCAGGCUACCUGGGCCACCACCUCCCAUCUCUAGGAACUCAGAGAAAAGUUUAGUCUAUGCAGGCUCAGUGUUUUCAGCUUCAUGCAGAGUGGGUGACUCCUCAGGUGUGCAGUGCCCUCUUGGGACGUUCAGAGGCCCCAGGGAAGUGGAAGUCCUAGGCACUGUCAUUAGCCAUCCUCGCCUGUGCCCCCAGACCCUGUCCCCACAAGAGGAGAGCAGCUCUGGGUCUUCUCUCCCCAGCUCAGGUGGUCUCACCGUGGCACGGGCCACCUGGCCAGCCCCACCUGGCUUCGGCAUCUCAGCGGCUCUGUGGCCAGGACCGGUUUCCAGUGUCUUGCUUGCUUUCCUAACUCUCCCUAGGAGUUCCUGGUGACUAGAGGCAGAGUGACCUGGGGCCUCGGCACAUCUCACAGGUAAGAAAGCAGGGCUCCUGGGCGUGAGGGUGCGCCCAGAGCUUCAGCUGGCCUGCCCUGGCCCUGCCACCUCCAGGGAGCUGAGCAGCUGGCCUGGCUGCUGGGUAUUUUUAGCUACAGGACCCCCGCCCCCAGCUUGGCCCCCCUCACACCCUCUCCCUCAGACUGGGGCUGGGAUGCUGCCAGCCCCUUGGCCAGGCAGGGGGCGGGGCCCGUGUCAGCUGUUCUGCCCAGACCCAGGCAGGGCUGGGGACUCGCUUUCCUCUCCUCCCUCCUGCCCACAUAGUGUAAGUGGUUUGGUCAUAAGUCAGAAUUAUCACUUGAACAAUAAUUAAAUUUAAAAAAUGCUUUAAAAAGAUUAUCACCCUGUUUCUCAAGUGAAUAGUGGACACUGGGGCUUGAGGAUAGGUGGGAGCCCUCCCCAUGAGCUGCUGUGGUGUCUCCUGGCCUAGUUCGCUCAGCGUGGGGCAGCCUUUCUAAGUGAAUUCUCCCGGGCCCCUCCCUCCCUUACUCUCCCAGUCCCUCCCUGCACUUUAGGGUCCCUGCUGCAGCGGAGUUAGGCUGAAGAUGAGGCCACUAAGGUGAGUGACUGGUUCUCCUCCCUUCACUCCAAACCCUCUUCCAUCUACCUUGCCCUCCUGGGGUCCUAGGGUCAUUUCUGGCAUGUCUCUGGGCCUGGUCUGUUCUGCCAACUUGAGGCUGCCUCACCAGCCAUCACAGCUCCUCUGUGGUCUCCAAAGAAAGCUCGAGGGUCCAGCUUUGGCUGGGCCUGUUCAGGAGCCUUGUGUCCAGUGUCCCCUGCUUGAGCCUGGCAGCCAGGCCCUCCCGAGCUAACCCCUGUUACCUUGACAACAGCUUCUGGCCUCCUUCCUCAUUCCCCAGCUUCUGCCAAACCUGGCGGGGGUUUUCAGCCACCGUGCAUUUACCCCGGCUGGGUACCCUUCUGGCCUGCCUGCCCUACACUUGCCAAGCUUUUUAUUAGUUCACCUACCCCCCACCACCUCUCAACCUUCUCUGAGCUCCUUAUAGGCAAGAAUACAAUUGCUUCUCAAUAAACUUGUGUUUUGGAAAAAAAAAAAAAAAAGAUUGAGUUCCUGGUAAUUUUUCUAGGGGUGCUUGACUCAGCCGAUGCCAUCUGGUUUGGUCACAGGGCAGGGCUUCCACCCAAC
Long non-coding RNA from Artibeus jamaicensis (Jamaican fruit-eating bat), 5284 nucleotides. RefSeq lists it as uncharacterized. The record is from RefSeq and is a predicted model, not a curated record. NCBI's taxonomy places the organism in Eukaryota, Metazoa, Chordata, Mammalia, Chiroptera, Phyllostomidae. The transcript has 3 exons.